GUAGUAUUCCCUCCGUCCCAAAUUUUUUGUCUUACAUUUGUUUAGAUACGGACGUAUCUAACACUAAAAUGUAACUAGAUACAUCCGUAUUUAGACAAAUUUAAGACACGAAUUUUGGGACAGAGGGAGUACAAA
This is a non-coding RNA of Triticum aestivum (bread wheat), 135 nucleotides long. NCBI's taxonomy places the organism in Eukaryota, Viridiplantae, Streptophyta, Magnoliopsida, Poales, Poaceae. The record is from Rfam.